CAAAUGUACUGCUGCUUUCAAAAUGGCGGGGCACAUUUGUCAAUCAUUGAACACUUUUGGAUGUCAUCUCUUAUUUAUUACAACUAGCCAGCCAUACCAAUAAAAUGCAGUCCGGACCUUCUUUGUCGAUUGUUACUUUACCUACAACAGUAUUAUAAGAAUGUUUAAAGUCAAACCCCCAAAUGAAUAUGCACUGUAUAAUCUAAUUGUGAAGGUCAUUAUGUAUACUAACAUUACUUGCUGGACAGACGCCAUUAGUGUUACCGCAACCUCUCAAAGGACCACUCGUUGUCACAACAGUUGAAUAUUUUCACUUCACAACAUUACAUGGUUAACCAACUCAAAAAUAUUAGGAUACUUACCUUCUGUCACAAGCGUUGCGGUUGUCGUUUCCAAAAACGUUCCCGCUUCUUCUUCUCUUUCUUCUUCUUCCUCGUUUUCGUUCGAGGUCGGCGCACACAACGUUAAAAUGUUACGCCACCUACUGUUUUCCCGCUUCUUCUUCUUCUGACGUUGAUGGCAAACAAGGCGUCAUGUCCGCCGCUGUCUGAUAGAAGGCGUGAAUUUUCUGAAUUGCCUUCCUUUGAAAGUUACACAUAGCCAAAAAUGGCUAUUUUCAGAUGGACAUACAAGGAGAAAAUCAACUUUAUCUCCAUUUUGAGAUGUGGAUCUGUCUCAUCAACAUUCUCGCGAGAUUUGGCACGGCGCCCCAUGAAUCUGUCCAAUCAUAUUUGCGCUUCCUGGAAAACACGCAUGCGCAUUUAGUGGGCGAAUGUGACUUGUAUCGAUUGGAGGAAACAAUUCAGCAUCGAAGGAAUAACGACUGAAAUAUUGGAGUGUCAAAAUGACAAAACGAAAACCUGCAAAACGAUGGAGAAGAACCGGUAAAGAAGUCGACUCAAAUAAACGAUCAAGAAGGACUGUACAAUUGCCACCAAUGUGAAUGUGGAGACUGAUGAGCAAUGUCUAAAAGGUAGCAGCAGGGGAACAGAAGGAGCCCAAAACACUGCUCUUCAUAUGGAACACAUGCAACCUCCAGGUGUCCAUGCAGGAUGUACCACUCUGGAACACCAAGCCUCUCCCUACCAGCCAGCACAUGAAAAUAUUUCUACUUUUGACUCUAUCAAAGACAAUGGAAAACCAUUUUCCAGAUCAGCCCUCAUAGAUCCUCCUGAUGGCCUAACAACUGAACUACAUGUCGAUGCUGAGUAUGAUCCAUCUCAAUCAUUUGAGGAAUCUCUCCCUGAUAUGGGGGAUUGGAUGUACAAUGACGGACAUAUGUUUAAUGAAGGAUUUGAAGAUAGUUUGAGUGAGGAGUGUGCAGAAGAGUCAAAUAUCAAGGACACAACAGACAAACCAUUAUAUGACAAUGUGGCAGAGUGCCUUCUGAUCAUCAUGGCUUAUGAAAACUGUCAUAAAGUCACUGAUAAGGCCCUAUAAGCCAUUUGCUGAAAAUGUUCAAGUUGCUUUGUCCCGAUAGUCUGAAUGCAGACUGCUUAAACAGUGUGCAGAAGUUCAAAAACUUUCUUUUAUCCCGCUCUGCAUCAUCGCCUAUUUUAUUACAUAAAUACUGCAGUAAUUGUUUUGGGCCAUUAGAAAGUAAACAAAUAAAAUGUCUGUCUUGUGGGACCAGUGUGUCAGAAGAAAGAUCCUCAUCCUUUAUAGAGGUUCCAAUUAAGGCUCACAUAAGGUCAUUGUUCCUCAAGCCAGGUUUUCAGGAGAAGCUUAACUUCAGAUUAAGCAGAAAGAAGGCAGAUGCUAACAACAUUGAAGAUAUAUAUGAUGCAGAAGUUUACAAACAGCUUGUCGAUAGGGGUGGUCCUCUUAGUGACCCUAAAAACAUCUCACUUGGAACAAAAAUGGAUAUUUGUUAAGGCUCAUACAUGGUACUCAAAAUAUACCUAUGCAGAUGGUAAAUGUAGUCAAACUUGUGCAGUCUAUUCCUGUUAUUUCACAAACUAUUAAACCAGGGAAUGUCAUAGCUGAAUUUUACAGACAUAUGACUAAAGAUGAUAGUUUCUGUCAGGAAAACAAAUAUUUGUCUAGGAUUAAACUAUAUGGAGCACCUAGUGAACUUCUAUUGGACACAGUUCACCUCUCUGCAUUGCUAAUACAUGCGGGUCACUGCAUCAAUUCUGGAACAGUAAGCAUCUUUCACAGGGCACAAGUUAAGAGAAAUGAUCUCACAUCAAAACACUAUGGUAAAGGUAAUAGAAGAAACAAUUUUACAGGUUUUUUUCAAAUGACGGACAAACAAAGUAUGGACAGAUUGAUUUCUUCUUUAUCAUAGCACAAUCAUGUGCCAAAUGGGCCCUCCUUCGUGAAUUCAAACAUGCAGGGUUUUCUUUGCUGCAAGAUAGUGUAACAAAUGGUACAUGAAGUCAUGUUAUUCCCCUAUUGGAAACCUCUGCCAGUACAGUAGUAUGAUUGGAUGACAUAUUGGGUAAAGUUGUUUUCCUUGACUUCACAUCUGUGCCUGGCAUUGUGUUUGCAGUUCAUUUCCCAAACACACUUGAAAAGUUUUAACUAAUUAAGAACUCAACUGGCCUAAGAAGUCACAAAUCAAAUAUUUGAUCAUUGUUAUAAAUGCUCUGAAAAUACACACCGAUGAGAUGUUGCCGUGGAUGCUGUAAAAGUCUGUAAAUAUGUACUGU
Molecule: long non-coding RNA, 2654 nt
Organism: Nerophis lumbriciformis (worm pipefish)
Lineage: Eukaryota; Metazoa; Chordata; Actinopteri; Syngnathiformes; Syngnathidae
Source: RefSeq, a predicted model, not a curated record